CACGUGUGCAACCUGCCUUUAUCUGGGGGAUAGCCUUUCGAAAGGAAGAUUAAUACCCCAUAAUAUAAGAAACGGCAUCGUUUUUUAUUGAAAACUCCGGUGGAUAGAGAUGGGCACGCGCAAGAUUAGAUAGUUGGUGAGGUAACGGCUCACCAAGUCUACGAUCUUUAGGGGGCCUGAGAGGGUGAUCCCCCACACUGGUACUGAGACACGGACCAGACUCCUACGGGAGGCAGCAGUGAGGAAUAUUGGACAAUGGGUGAGAGCCUGAUCCAGCCAUCCCGCGUGAAGGACGACUGCCCUAUGGGUUGUAAACUUCUUUUGUAUAGGGAUAAACCUACCCUCGUGAGGGUAGCUGAAGGUACUAUACGAAUAAGCACCGGCUAACUCCGUGCCAGCAGCCGCGGUAAUACGGAGGGUGCAAGCGUUAUCCGGAUUUAUUGGGUUUAAAGGGUCCGUAGGCGGAUUUGUAAGUCAGUGGUGAAAUCUCACAGCUUAACUGUGAAACUGCCAUUGAUACUGCAAGUCUUGAGUGUUGUUGAAGUAGCUGGAAUAAGUAGUGUAGCGGUGAAAUGCAUAGAUAUUACUUAGAACACCAAUUGCGAAGGCAGGUUACUAAGCAACAACUGACGC
RNAcentral lists this ribosomal RNA (633 nucleotides) under Chryseobacterium rhizoplanae. RNAcentral describes it as "bacterial SSU rRNA". It matches the Rfam family "Bacterial small subunit ribosomal RNA", at positions 114 to 746 of the family's 1533-position model. The record is from RNAcentral. Lineage: Bacteria; Pseudomonadati; Bacteroidota; Flavobacteriia; Flavobacteriales; Weeksellaceae.